RNAcentral lists this ribosomal RNA (528 nucleotides) under uncultured bacterium. RNAcentral describes it as "partial 16S ribosomal RNA". It matches the Rfam family "Bacterial small subunit ribosomal RNA", at positions 355 to 899 of the family's 1533-position model. The record is from RNAcentral.
UGGGGAAUAUUGGACAAUGGGGGCAACCCUGAUCCAGCCAUGCCGCGUGAGUGAUGAAGGCCCUAGGGUUGUAAAGCUCUUUUGUGCGGGAAGAUAAUGACGGUACCGCAAGAAUAAGCCCCGGCUAACUUCGUGCCAGCAGCCGCGGUAAUACGAAGGGGGCUAGCGUUGCUCGGAAUCACUGGGCGUAAAGGGUGCGUAGGCGGGUUUCUAAGUCAGAGGUGAAAGCCUGGAACUCAACUCCAGAACUGCCUUUGAUACUGGAAGUCUUGAGUAUGGCAGAGGUGAGUGGAACUGCGAGUGUAGAGGUGAAAUUCGUAGAUAUUCGCAAGAACACCAGUGGCGAAGGCGGCUCACUGGGCCAUUACUGACGCUGAGGCACGAAAGCGUGGGGAGCAAACAGGAUUAGAUACCCUGGUAGUCCACGCCGUAAAACGAUGAAUGCCAGCCGUUAGUGGGUUUUACUCACUAGUGGCGCAGCUAACGCUUUAAGCAUUCCGCCUGGGGAGUACGGUCGCAAGAUUAAAA